AGGAGAUUAGCUUAAUGGUCAGAGCAACUUACUUACAAUAAGAAGAAGAAAGUUCGAUUCUUUCAUUUCCUA
RNAcentral lists this transfer RNA (72 nucleotides) under Mortierella polycephala. It matches the Rfam family "tRNA". From Rfam's summary of the family: Transfer RNA (tRNA) molecules are approximately 80 nucleotides in length. RNAcentral also lists the same sequence under 6 other names. Lineage: Eukaryota; Fungi; Mortierellomycota; Mortierellomycetes; Mortierellales; Mortierellaceae. The record is from Rfam by way of RNAcentral.